This 1333-nucleotide long non-coding RNA is filed under the name Manacus vitellinus (golden-collared manakin). RNAcentral's name for it is "lncRNA (ENSMVIG00005015060.1)". The record is from RNAcentral. Lineage: Eukaryota; Metazoa; Chordata; Aves; Passeriformes; Pipridae.
GGAGCUGACUGUUGAUGGCAGGAGCUGACAGAGGCACUGGCACAGAAAUACUCUACUGAGGCUGGAGAGAGGUCACUGCACUAGCUCCCUGCAAGGCAGGACAUGCCAGAGGAUUGAGAGGGACUCGAGCAGCUACUCAGUGUCUGCCCUUUUCCAUACAUGGUGCCUUUUAUUAACUCCUUGAAAACAGCUGCAUUGAACGCUGCUGUUUUGUGUUAACUUCUGAAGAGCUGUGAGGCUCCUAAGCAGAGCCUGCCUAGAAAAGGAAACAGCAGAAGGAGACUGGUGUGCCAUCUCCUGAAAUAUGAGUAGAAAAAAAGCAUCAAGGAAAAGAUCAUGGAAGUACUUAAGAAUUUCAGAAGUUACUACCCUUGGAAGAGAAAGAAAAACUUCAGAGAGACACUUCCAGAUACCAGAAGAAAGGGCAGUACCCCUCCUUUGCAGGGAGCCCCUCAGGGAGCAUUCUGCACAGUCAGAGGAGGGAAGAAAUGCUCUUCUCUGUGCUUCAGCCCAUAGCCUUAUCUUUUUGAUGACUACAGUGUAAUAUGAACAUACAUCCCUCCUGCUCAAGCUGAGCUCCAAAGAGAGGUGCCUGCUAGGAAGUACAGUUGAGUUCAUAUUUGAUUAAAAGAACACUAGCAACAUUAAUAACUGGUACACCUGUGCUGGAAUUGGCAAUUAAACUCAGUCUCCUCCUGUGAAUUUUAGUCAUUAAAGGAACUUGCCAAAGGCUGGGACUUGGGUAUCACUUAGUCUCCCAAACAGGACUGGAUGAGGGACUAGUCAUCUUCAUAAUGGGUCCUGCCAAGAACCUUGCAUCAUGCUUGAGGAAUGGGCAUGUCAGUGAGCUCGCUGGGGUGGCUGCAGAGACUGCUUGCACAGCCACCACUCUGCUGAUUCAGGGGUCUUGCAUGUGCUCCUGGAAGGUGCCAGACAGGCAUCCCUCAACAACCUGCCCCCUAACACGUCUCGUCACAGUCUCAACACAUAGUUCAUCAUGAUCAGGAGCACUAAGCAGCUGCCUCUUUGCUCCAUUGUCUGCUUCUACUUCCCAUACGCCUUGUGCAGCCUCAGAGGUUAAUAACUUUUGAAUAUUGCAGAUCUGGGAUGGGUUUCAAUGGCUGAUCCAGAGGCAAGAGGGUGAUCAUCUUGAUCAUCCAUUUUCCCUCUACCAGUUACUAUUAUUGCUAACUGCUGUUCCACACACAUUGUAAUUAAGUGGAAAAAAUACAGACCAAAUGAAAAAGGGUACAAGCCUCUCAAAAACAUCUCUGCUUUAGCUGCAGCCUGACUCAGCCUUCAAUUAACAUUCUUACUUAAAAUAGUUUUGUUA